GGAGAGAUGUCCGAGUGGUUUAAGGAAACGGUCUUGAAAACCGCUGUAGUUAUGCUACCGAGGGUUCGAAUCCCUCUCUCUCCU
Molecule: transfer RNA, 84 nt
Filed under: Cylindrocystis brebissonii
Lineage: Eukaryota; Viridiplantae; Streptophyta; Zygnematophyceae; Zygnematales; Mesotaeniaceae
Description: tRNA-Ser
Rfam family: tRNA
About the family: Transfer RNA (tRNA) molecules are approximately 80 nucleotides in length. Their secondary structure includes four short double-helical elements and three loops (D, anti-codon, and T loops).
Source: RNAcentral